GAUGAAGAACGUAGCGAAAUGCGACAAGUAAUGUGAAUUGCAGAAUUCAGUGAAUCAUCGAAUCUUUGAACGCACAUUGCGCCCUCUGGUAUUCCGGGGGGCAUGCCUGUUCGAGCGUCAUUAUAACCACUCAAGCUCUCGCUUGGUAUUGGGGUUCGCGGUUCCGCGGCCCCUAAAAUCAGUGGCGGUGCCUGUCGGCUCUACGCGUAGUAAUACUCCUCGCGAUUGAGUCCGGUAGGUCUACUUGCCAGCAACCCCCAAUUUUUACAGGUUGACCUCGGAUCAGGUAGGGAUACCCGCUGAACUUAAGCAUAUCAAUAAGCGGAGGA
RNAcentral lists this unclassified non-coding RNA (329 nucleotides) under soil metagenome. Its description in RNAcentral is "partial contains 5.8S ribosomal RNA, internal transcribed spacer 2, and large subunit ribosomal RNA". The stretch from base 1 to 120 matches the Rfam family "5.8S ribosomal RNA", at positions 35 to 154 of the family's 154-position model. The record is from RNAcentral.